This 1131-nucleotide unclassified non-coding RNA is filed under the name Pollicipes pollicipes. RNAcentral's name for it is "cAMP-specific 3',5'-cyclic phosphodiesterase-like, transcript variant X3". Lineage: Eukaryota; Metazoa; Arthropoda; Thecostraca; Pollicipedomorpha; Pollicipedidae. The record is from RNAcentral.
CGAGGGCGUCAUCGGCGACCGGCUGACCAUCCGGCGCCUGCAGAAGCGCGCCUGGAAGCGGCGCAGCGGCGACGCCGGGUACCCGUUCGGCCACCGCAAGCACAACAAGGAAGUCAGUUUCGACGUUGAAAAUGGCGGCGUCCAGGGGCGCGCGGACGGCUCGCCCUCCACCGGCCUGGUGCUCCAAAGCCUGCCACAGCGCCGGGAGUCGUUCAUCUACAAGUCCGACUCAGACUUCGAGAUGUCGCCCAAGACAAUGUCGCGCAACUCGAGUAUCGCUAGCGACGGGUGAGUACGGUGCGACUUCCGAUCGGUGAUCUUCGCGUUCACGGGCGGACGGCUCCACUUCGAGGUGGUCCCCCUGGGAGGCGUUGCUCCAGGCCCUCAUUACCCGAACUUUGAAGCCUUAAGUGGAUUGCAUGGGGACCGAUGUGGGGGUUGCGUCCGGGAAACUCUGUACGGCCAUGGCAGCUUGAGCCAAUGUUUCCAGCUCACUCUACUGGUAAGUUGGUAAUCGUAACUUGCGGUCAUGGGCCAGAUGAAACUUGUUGGGGCUGAUAUACUGGACUUUGGUUGAGUGGGAAAGUUGGGCGGUCGGCCAUCCCGCGUGAAACAUCCUGAAAUGUUGGAGAGGAUGGAAAAUCGUGGCAGCCAAUGGUGCUCUAAGCCCGAUAUUGAUUUUACGUGCCACGGGGUGCGAUAUUGAUCAGGUAAGUGUGCGUGUGCAUUAUUGACUAUUAAUUUCUUAUGGGCUCAGUCCUAAAUGCACUUACGGGGAGUAACUUAGCCAGAUGGCUGCUACCAUCGCUCUGAAAUUAUGCAUCGCCAGGUGCCAGCAGAUCCAGCACCGAGAGCGAACACCAGAGUAAAACGGAGUGCACUGAUGACGAUUAUGUCUGUGGAUAGAUCCAGUGCCAUUUGAUUCCGACUAUGAUUGCAUUCAUUACAUUAAUGCCAUCGGGUAUCUGUAGUACAGCCCAGGGAUUGCAUAGUUCACUGAAUAAAGCCUCUGUGCACUUUGCACGACACAUUUAGCUGAUUGCUGAUGAGGCGCGACCCCAUUCCGAGCGCGACAUACUCCGCGUGAUUGCUGGUGAUCCGUCCGUGUCGCUUUAACAAGUGACGGCUCGG